Molecule: ribosomal RNA, 694 nt
Filed under: uncultured Bacteroidales bacterium
Lineage: Bacteria; Pseudomonadati; Bacteroidota; Bacteroidia; Bacteroidales
Description: bacterial SSU rRNA
Rfam family: Bacterial small subunit ribosomal RNA
Source: RNAcentral
AACGCUAGCUACAGGCUUAACACAUGCAAGUCGCGGGGCAGCAUGAAUUUAGCUUGCUAAAUUUGAUGGCGACCGGCGCACGGGUGAGUAACGCGUAUCCAACCUUCCCCUGUCCACGGGAUAGCCCGUCGAAAGGCGGAUUAAUACCGUAUGAGGUCACAUGACGGCAUCAGAGUGUGAUGAAAGGUUUGGCGGACAGGGAUGGGGAUGCGUCCGAUUAGCUUGUUGGCGGGGUAACGGCCCACCAAGGCUACGAUCGGUAGGGGUUCUGAGAGGAAGGUCCCCCACAUUGGAACUGAGACACGGUCCAAACUCCUACGGGAGGCAGCAGUGAGGAAUAUUGGUCAAUGGGCGAGAGCCUGAACCAGCCAAGUAGCGUGCAGGACGACGGCCCUAUGGGUUGUAAACUGCUUUUAUGCGGGGAUAACGUGCACCACGUGUGGUGUAUUGCAGGUACCGCAUGAAUAAGGACCGGCUAAUUCCGUGCCAGCAGCCGCGGUAAUACGGAAGGUCCGGGCGUUAUCCGGAUUUAUUGGGUUUAAAGGGAGCGUAGGCUGGAGAUUAAGCGUGUUGUGAAAUGCCGCGGCUCAACCGUGGCACUGCAGCGCGAACUGGUUUCCUUGAGUGCGCUGAAAGUGGGCGGAAUUUGUGGUGUAGCGGUGAAAUGCUUAGAUAUCACGAAGAACUCCGAUUG